AGUGAACGCUGGCGGUAGGCCUAACACAUGCAAGUCGAACGGCAGCACAGGAGAGCUUGCUCUCUGGGUGGCGAGUGGCGGACGGGUGAGGAAUACAUCGGAAUCUACUCUGUCGUGGGGGAUAACGUAGGGAAACUUACGCUAAUACCGCAUACGACCUACGGGUGAAAGCAGGGGAUCUUCGGACCUUGCGCGAUUGAAUGAGCCGAUGUCGGAUUAGCUAGUUGGCGGGGUAAAGGCCCACCAAGGCGAUGAUCCGUAGCUGGUCUGAGAGGAUGAUCAGCCACACUGGAACUGAGACACGGUCCAGACUCCUACGGGAGGCAGCAGUGGGGAAUAUUGGACAAUGGGCGCAAGCCUGAUCCAGCCAUACCGCGUGGGUGAAGAAGGCCUUCGGGUUGUAAAGCCCUUUUGUUGGGAAAGAAAUCCAGCUGCUAAUACCCGGUUGGGAUGACGGUACCCAAAGAAUAAGCACCGGCUAACUUCGUGCCAGCCGCCGCCGUAA
RNAcentral lists this ribosomal RNA (505 nucleotides) under uncultured bacterium. RNAcentral describes it as "partial 16S ribosomal RNA". It matches the Rfam family "Bacterial small subunit ribosomal RNA", at positions 29 to 523 of the family's 1533-position model. The record is from RNAcentral.